This 477-nucleotide ribosomal RNA is filed under the name uncultured bacterium. Its description in RNAcentral is "bacterial SSU rRNA". It matches the Rfam family "Bacterial small subunit ribosomal RNA", at positions 28 to 518 of the family's 1533-position model. The record is from RNAcentral.
GACGAACGCUGGCGGCGUGCUUAACACAUGCAAGUCGAACGGUAAGGCCCUUCGGGGUACGACGAGUGGCGAACGGGUGAGUAACACGUGGGUGAUCUGCCCUGCACUUCGGGAUAAGCUUGGGAAACUGGGUCUAAUACCGGAUAGGACCACGGUCUGCAUGGAUUGUGGUGGAAAGCUUUUGCGGUGUGGGAUGGGCCCGCGGCCUAUCAGCUUGUUGGUGGGGUGAUGGCCUACCAAGGGCGACGACGGGUAGCCGGCCUGAGAGGGUGUCCGGCCACACUGGGACUGAGAUACGGGCCCAGACUCCUACGGGAGGCAGCAGUGGGGAAUAUUGCACAAUGGGCGCAAGCCUGAUGCAGCGACGCCGCGUGGGGGAUGACGGCCUUCGGGUUGGUAAACCUCUUUCAGCAGGGACGAAGGUGGACUGACGGUACCUGUAGAAGAAGCACCGGCCAACUACGUGCCAGCAGCCGC